This 254-nucleotide ribosomal RNA is filed under the name uncultured bacterium. RNAcentral's name for it is "partial 16S ribosomal RNA". It matches the Rfam family "Bacterial small subunit ribosomal RNA", at positions 524 to 776 of the family's 1533-position model. The record is from RNAcentral.
GACAGAGGGUGCAAACGUUGUUCGGAAUUACUGGGCGUAAAGCGUGUGUAGGUGGCUGCGAAAGUCGGAUGUGAAAGCCCUGGGCUCAACUCAGGAAGUGCACCCGAUACUGCGUAGCUCGAGUACCGGAGAGGUUGGUAGAAUUCUCGGUGUAGAGGUGAAAUUCGUAGAUAUCGGGAGGAACACCGGUGGCGAAGGCGACCAUCUGGACGGAUACUGACGCUGAGACGCGAAAAGCGUGGGUAGCAAACAGG